GUUGCUGGAGGUAUCAGAAGUGCGAAUGCUGACAUAAGUAACGAUAAAGCGGGUGAAAAGCCCGCUCGCCGGAAGACCAAGGGUUCCUGUCCAACGUUAAUCGGGGCAGGGUGAGUCGACCCCUAAGGCGAGGCCGAAAGGCGUAGUCGAUGGGAAACGGGUUAAUAUUCCCGUACUUGGUGUUACUGCGAAGGGGGGACGGAGAAGGCUAUGUUGGCCGGGCGACGGUUGUCCCGGUUUAAGCGUGUAGGUGUGUGUUCCAGGUAAAUCCGGUUCACUUUAACACUGAGGCGUGACGACGAGGCACUACGGUGCUGAAGCAACAAAUGCCCUGCUUCCAGGAAAAGCCUCUAAGCAUCAGGUAACAUCAAAUCGUACCCCAAACCGACACAGGUGGUCAGGUAGAGAAUACCAAGGCGCUUGAGAGAACUCGGGUGAAGGAACUAGGCAAAAUGGUGCCGUAACUUCGGGAGAAGGCACGCUGACACGUAGGUGAAGUGAUUUACUCAUGGAGCUGAAGUCAGUCGAAGAUACCAGCUGGCUGCAACUGUUUAUUAAAAACACAGCACUGUGCAAACACGAAAGUGGACGUAUACGGUGUGACGCCUGCCCGGUGCCGGAAGGUUAAUUGAUGGGGUCAGCGCAAGCGAAGCUCCUGAUCGAAGCCCCGGUAAACGGCGGCCGUAACUAUAACGGUCCUAAGGUAGCGAAAUUCCUUGUCGGGUAAGUUCCGACCUGCACGAAUGGCGUAAUGAUGGCCAGGCUGUCUCCACCCGAGACUCAGUGAAAUUGAACUCGCUGUGAAGAUGCAGUGUACCCGCGGCAAGACGGAAAGACCCCGUGAACCUUUACUAUAGCUUGACACUGAACAUUGAGCCUUGAUGUGUAGGAUAGGUGGGAGGCUU
This 905-nucleotide ribosomal RNA is filed under the name Salmonella enterica subsp. enterica serovar Oslo. RNAcentral's name for it is "partial 23S ribosomal RNA". It matches the Rfam family "Bacterial large subunit ribosomal RNA", at positions 1269 to 2157 of the family's 2925-position model. The record is from RNAcentral. Lineage: Bacteria; Pseudomonadati; Pseudomonadota; Gammaproteobacteria; Enterobacterales; Enterobacteriaceae.